RNAcentral lists this ribosomal RNA (1372 nucleotides) under uncultured bacterium. Its description in RNAcentral is "bacterial SSU rRNA". It matches the Rfam family "Bacterial small subunit ribosomal RNA", at positions 28 to 1381 of the family's 1533-position model. The record is from RNAcentral.
GAUAAACGCUGGCGGCGUGCCUAAUACAUGCAAGUCGAGCGAACGGACGAGAAGCUUGCUUCUCUGAUGUUAGCGGCGGACGGGUGAGUAACACGUGGAUAACCUACCUAUAAGACUGGGAUAACUUCGGGAAACCGGAGCUAAUACCGGAUAAUAUUUUGAACCGCAUGGUUCAAAAGUGAAAGACGGUCUUGCUGUCACUUAUAGAUGGAUCCGCGCUGCAUUAGCUAGUUGGUAAGGUAACGGCUUACCAAGGCAACGAUGCAUAGCCGACCUGAGAGGGUGAUCGGCCACACUGGAACUGAGACACGGUCCAGACUCCUACGGGAGGCAGCAGUAGGGAAUCUUCCGCAAUGGGCGAAAGCCUGACGGAGCAACGCCGCGUGAGUGAUGAAGGUCUUCGGAUCGUAAAACUCUGUUAUUAGGGAAGAACAUAUGUGUAAGUAACUGUGCACAUCUUGACGGUACCUAAUCAGAAAGCCACGGCUAACUACGUGCCAGCAGCCGCGGUAAUACGUAGGUGGCAAGCGUUAUCCGGAAUUAUUGGGCGUAAAGCGCGCGUAGGCGGUUUUUUAAGUCUGAUGUGAAAGCCCACGGCUCAACCGUGGAGGGUCAUUGGAAACUGGAAAACUUGAGUGCAGAAGAGGAAAGUGGAAUUCCAUGUGUAGCGGUGAAAUGCGCAGAGAUAUGGAGGAACACCAGUGGCGAAGGCGACUUUCUGGUCUGUAACUGACGCUGAUGUGCGAAAGCGUGGGGAUCAAACAGGAUUAGAUACCCUGGUAGUCCACGCCGUAAACGAUGAGUGCUAAGUGUUAGGGGGUUUCCGCCCCUUAGUGCUGCAGCUAACGCAUUAAGCACUCCGCCUGGGGAGUACGACCGCAAGGUUGAAACUCAAAGGAAUUGACGGGGACCCGCACAAGCGGUGGAGCAUGUGGUUUAAUUCGAAGCAACGCGAAGAACCUUACCGAAUCUUGACAUCCUCUGACCCCUCUAGAGAUAGAGUUUUCCCCUUCGGGGGACAGAGUGACAGGUGGUGCAUGGUUGUCGUCAGCUCGUGUCGUGAGAUGUUGGGUUAAGUCCCGCAACGAGCGCAACCCUUAAGCUUAGUUGCCAUCAUUAAGUUGGGCACUCUAAGUUGACUGCCGGUGACAAACCGGAGGAAGGUGGGGAUGACGUCAAAUCAUCAUGCCCCUUAUGAUUUGGGCUACACACGUGCUACAAUGGACAAUACAAAGGGCAGCGAAACCGCGAGGUCAAGCAAAUCCCAUAAAGUUGUUCUCAGUUCGGAUUGUAGUCUGCAACUCGACUACAUGAAGCUGGAAUCGCUAGUAAUCGUAGAUCAGCAUGCUACGGUGAAUACGUUCCCGGGUCU